This 1100-nucleotide ribosomal RNA is filed under the name uncultured bacterium. Its description in RNAcentral is "bacterial SSU rRNA". It matches the Rfam family "Bacterial small subunit ribosomal RNA", at positions 28 to 1125 of the family's 1533-position model. The record is from RNAcentral.
GAUGAACGCUAGCGGCAGGCUUAACACAUGCAAGUCGAGGGGCAGCAUAAUGGUAGUAAUACUAUUGAUGGCGACCGGCGGACGGGUGCGUAACGCGUAUGCAACCUACCCUUUACAGGGGGAUAACACUGAGAAAUCGGUACUAAUACCCCAUAAUAUUCUGGGAGGCAUCUUUCGGAGUUGAAAGCUUUGGUGGUAAAGGAUGGGCAUGCGUUGUAUUAGCUAGUUGGUAAGGUAACGGCUUACCAAGGCGACGAUACAUAGGGGGACUGAGAGGUUAACCCCCCACAUUGGUACUGAGACACGGACCAAACUCCUACGGGAGGCAGCAGUGAGGAAUAUUGGUCAAUGGACGGAAGUCUGAACCAGCCAUGCCGCGUGCAGGAAGACGGCUCUAUGAGUUGUAAACUGCUUUUGUACGAGGGUAAACGCAGAUACGUGUAUCUGCCUGAAAGUAUCGUACGAAUAAGGAUCGGCUAACUCCGUGCCAGCAGCCGCGGUAAUACGGAGGAUCCAAGCGUUAUCCGGAUUUAUUGGGUUUAAAGGGUGCGUAGGCGGUUUAGUAAGUCAGCGGUGAAAUUUUGGUGCUUAACACCAAACGUGCCGUUGAUACUGCUGGGCUAGAGAGUAGUUGCGGUAGGCGGAAUGUAUGGUGUAGCGGUGAAAUGCUUAGAGAUCAUACAGAACACCGAUUGCGAAGGCAGCUUACCAAACUAUAUCUGACGUUGAGGCACGAAAGCGUGGGGAGCAAACAGGAUUAGAUACCCUGGUAGUCCACGCAGUAAACGAUGAUAGCUCGUUGUCGGCGAUACACAGUCGGUGACUAAGAGAAAUCGAUAAGCUAUCCACCUGGGGAGUACGUUCGCAAGAAUGAAACUCAAAGGAAUUGACGGGGGCCCGCACAAGCGGAGGAACAUGUGGUUUAAUUCGAUGAUACGCGAGGAACCUUACCCGGGCUUGAAAGUUACUGACGAUUCUGGAAACAGGAUUUCCCUUCGGGGCAGGAAACUAGGUGCUGCAUGGUUGUCGUCAGCUCGUGCCGUGAGGUGUCGGGUUAAGUCCCAUAACGAGCGCAACCCCUACUGAUAGUUGCCAUCAGA